GGGCCCGCACAAGCGGAGGAACAUGUGGUUUAAUUCGAUGAUACGCGAGGAACCUUACCCGGGCUUGAAAUGCAUCUGACAGUUUUGGAAACAGAACUUCCUUCGGGCAGAUGUGUAGGUGCUGCAUGGUUGUCGUCAGCUCGUGCCGUGAGGUGUCGGCUUAAGUGCCAUAACGAGCGCAACCCUUGUCAUUAGUUGCUAACAGGUCAAGCUGCGGACUCUAAUGAGACUGCCACCGUAAGGUGUGAGGAAGGGGGGGAUGACGUCAAAUCAGCACGGCCCUUAUGUCCGGGGCGACACACGUGUUACAAUGGGGGGUACAACGGGUUGCUACCGCGCGAGCGGAUGCUAAUCUCUAAAAACCCUUCUCAGUUCGGAUCGGAGUCUGCAACUCGACUUUCGUGAAGCUGGAUUCGCUAGUAAUCGCGCAUCAGCCACGGCG
Molecule: ribosomal RNA, 442 nt
Filed under: uncultured Bacteroidota bacterium
Lineage: Bacteria; Pseudomonadati; Bacteroidota
Description: bacterial SSU rRNA
Rfam family: Bacterial small subunit ribosomal RNA
Source: RNAcentral